GUGAUGGUUUUUUAGCCGCGGUGACACUUUUUCCCCUUCCUGCUUCAUGAAUCACAUGCUUUUCAUGUGGUUCUUGGAUUAUGUUUUUUUAGUUUGAGAACAGAUGGAGAUGAUGAUGAUGAUGAGAAUGGAUGGAUUUUGGUUUGAUUUUGUGUUUGUUGAUGUUGUACGAAUUAUUUGAUAUGAGAAGAGAUUAAUCUGAAUUUGUUUGGAUUUCUUGUUGUUUGUUGUUGAACCUGUGUUGAUUGUUGUUGCUAU
This 258-nucleotide long non-coding RNA is filed under the name Medicago truncatula (barrel medic). RNAcentral describes it as "long non-coding RNA (MTRU_LNC001921)". Lineage: Eukaryota; Viridiplantae; Streptophyta; Magnoliopsida; Fabales; Fabaceae. The record is from RNAcentral.